Molecule: long non-coding RNA, 345 nt
Filed under: Spirodela polyrhiza (greater duckweed)
Lineage: Eukaryota; Viridiplantae; Streptophyta; Magnoliopsida; Alismatales; Araceae
Description: long non-coding RNA (SPOL_LNC000556)
Source: RNAcentral
GUGACGACCCCUUUCUGCAGCCAUAUCAGCGAGCACACGGCGGCAUCCUUCAGUCGUUGGGCGGUUUUCCUCCACCGGCGGCCUUCCCGCCCUCCGCCGAUCUGGAACAGCAGGGGAGCCGCCUUCCAGUCCUUCAGCCGCUGGAUCCAGUAGUCCUCCACUCGGAACUCGGCCUUCCAGCUCCAUCCCUUGCUGUCUGUGCUCCUGAAUCUGAUCGCGUUGAACCAUCGGCAGGCCGGCGCGACGGUCCCGAGCAGAAUACCCACCGUCUGGGCGGAGACGAUCACGCCGGACGACCACCCGUAGUCUGACUCCCCGCGGCAGACCCGCAGGCUCGACUCCCAG